CCUACGGGUGGCAGCAGUGAGGAAUAUUGGUCAAUGGGCGCGAGCCUGAACCAGCCAAGUAGCGUGAAGGAUGACUGCCCUACGGGUUGUAAACUUCUUUUAUAAAGGAAUAAAGUGAGGCACGUGUGCCUUUUUGUAUGUACUUUAUGAAUAAGGAUCGGCUAACUCCGUGCCAGCAGCCGCGGUAAUACGGAGGAUCCGAGCGUUAUCCGGAUUUAUUGGGUUUAAAGGGUGCGUAGGCGGAUCGUUAAGUCAGUGGUCAAAUUGAGGGGCUCAACCCCUUCCCGCCAUUGAAACUGGCGUUCUUGAGUGGAAGAGAAGGAAGCGGAAUGCGUGGUGUAGCGGUGAAAUGCAUAGAUAUCACGCAGAACUCCGAUUGCGAAGGCAGCAUACCGGCGCCCAACUGACGCUGAAGCACGAAAGCGUGGGUAUCGAACAGGAUUAGAUACCCCUGUAGUC
This 459-nucleotide ribosomal RNA is filed under the name uncultured bacterium. RNAcentral describes it as "partial 16S ribosomal RNA". It matches the Rfam family "Bacterial small subunit ribosomal RNA", at positions 338 to 795 of the family's 1533-position model. The record is from RNAcentral.